Molecule: ribosomal RNA, 301 nt
Filed under: uncultured bacterium
Lineage: Bacteria
Description: partial 16S ribosomal RNA
Rfam family: Bacterial small subunit ribosomal RNA
Source: RNAcentral
CAGCAGCCGCGGGAAAACGAGGGGUGCAAGCGUUAUUCGGAUUGAUUGGGUGUAAAGGGUGUGCAGACGGCUUAUUAAGUCACUUGUUAAAUUCUUCGGCCUAACUGAAGGUCUGCAAGUGAUACUGAUGAGCUAGAGGGUGGAAGAGAGAAGUGGAAUUCUCGGAGUAGCGGUAAAAUGCGUAGAUCUCGAGAGGAACACCAAUGGCGAAGGCAGCUUCUUGGUCCAUUCCUGACGUUCAUACACGAAAGCGUGGGGAGCAAACAGGAUUAGAUACCCGCGUAGUCCCUGUCUCUUAUAC